UACGUAGGGUGCAAGCGUUGUCCGGAAUUAUUGGGCGUAAAGAGCUUGUAGGCGGUUUGUCGCGUCUGCUGUGAAAUUUCGGGGCUCAACCCCGAACUUGCAGUGGGUACGGGCAGACUAGAGUGUGGUAGGGGAGACUGGAAUUCCUGGUGUAGCGGUGAAAUGCGCAGAUAUCAGGAAGAACACCCGUGGCUAAGGCGGCUCUCUAGUACGGUACUGACGCUGAGACGCGAAAGCGUGGGGAGCAAACAGG
This 253-nucleotide ribosomal RNA is filed under the name uncultured bacterium. RNAcentral's name for it is "partial 16S ribosomal RNA". It matches the Rfam family "Bacterial small subunit ribosomal RNA", at positions 524 to 776 of the family's 1533-position model. The record is from RNAcentral.